This 62-nucleotide transfer RNA is filed under the name Carausius sp. Its description in RNAcentral is "tRNA-His". The record is from RNAcentral. Lineage: Eukaryota; Metazoa; Arthropoda; Insecta; Phasmatodea; Lonchodidae.
ACUUAAAUAAUUUAAAUAAAAUAUCAGUUUGUGGUUCUGAAUAUGUGUAAUUACUUUAGGUU